CCUGCCAUGUCCUAAGCUGUCCUGUGGAGAGCCCCCUGGUAACCUGGCAGUGGGGACCUGCAGCCUUAAGUCCAGUGCCCUUAGAGGAAUGAAUCCUCCUAGUAAACUAGCGAGUGAGCUUGGGCGUGCAUGGUCCCAGAUAAGCCUUCAGAUGUCGCCACGGCUCUGGCAGACAUUCUGCCUCUGCCUCAGCAUCUAACAGACCUGGAGCCAAAGGCACAGAACCAAGCUUUGCCCACAGUCCUGACCCAAGAGAUGGGAAAAAAUAAAUGUUCUGGGGUGCUAAAUUUUGGGUUCAUUUUGGAUGCAAAAGUGGAGCUCAAGAACAGUCUUCUACCUUUAAGUGGGAGUGUCGCUUCUCACGGUGUGGUGAUGUGUACAUCUGAUCCCACCCCUCAUUAAACUGAGGCAAGACCAUCUCGAGUUCAAGGCCAGCCCAGAGUACAAAGCAAGACUUUUAUCUCAAAAAAAAUGAAAAACAAAAAAGAAAAAGAAAAAGAAAGUGUUGUCCUUUUAGUGGUAGCAGUAAGAAAUCCUGACUCACAGAAAUGCAUUUUCAGAAGUUCAGGUGAGGCCCCGGGAUUUAGUUCAGUGGUUUCGCUGCCUGCUGCGCAAGUAAAAGGACCCAAGUUCGAUCUCCAGUAUCAAAAAAAAGAAGUUCAGGAGAACAAGUCCCCAUCAUUUCUUUUUCUAAUGCUGGGGAUGGAACUCAGGACCUCACACAUGCCAGACAAUCCUUCUGUACCCUGGAUUUUAAAAAUUCGGCAUGAGCUGGACGCCAACAGCGAGGGCCCACCUACUCCACGCCCCGGGUGGAUCUUCUCUCCAGCCGGCUAGCCCGCGUCUGCGGAAGGGCCAGUUGUCCUGGCAACCAGCUGCUCUCCCAGCAACC
Long non-coding RNA from Heterocephalus glaber (naked mole-rat), 892 nucleotides. The record is from Ensembl. Lineage: Eukaryota; Metazoa; Chordata; Mammalia; Rodentia; Bathyergidae.